Molecule: long non-coding RNA, 762 nt
Filed under: Neodiprion lecontei (redheaded pine sawfly)
Lineage: Eukaryota; Metazoa; Arthropoda; Insecta; Hymenoptera; Diprionidae
Description: uncharacterized LOC124292712
Source: RNAcentral
UAUUUCAUAUCUAGGUCCAUAAAUGCCCUGACUGACCCAAAUCAAGACACACGCCGAUUUCAAACCGGACGAGGUCACGAUUCUUAAGUAGCCGACGACGAGUGCAGGUUGCGAAAUUGAUACACGCCACCCACGAGUCUCCGUGCAGGCACGCAUAUAUCCGCAAUACGUAGACAUACGUAUGUAUAUACAUACAUUGAUACGUAGGUGCGGAUUUAUCUGCAUCCACAACCGACCGCCGAUUCCACACGUGGCUGUAUCUGCACACAUGGGUCAAUCCGCUUGACAUACAAGCACAUCGUAUAGACAAUCAUAAACGAAACUUUUCAACGACGAUGCGGCAUCCGCAUGCAGGUAAUUAACGAGCGCAAACGUCUUGAGAACCUGCAAUGCGAAACCUUCGACGUGGGCGAAUUCCGUUUUUGGUACAUCUUAUGUACAGCUUUCACUGCCUUCCAAAUUGAAUCGUGUACUUUUUGCACUGUUAGUAGGAAAUGUUGAUAACCUGGAGACUUAGCUUAAGAACGAGGAAGUGUGUGUUUUUUUUUUUUUUGUUUUUCUUUUUGCGAAAUAAAUUGAAUUUCGCGUAUACGGAAUCAACGUCUUCCUACACGCGUCUAUUUUGUAAUUAACGUUUAAGCUUUUGGUUGAAGACAUUGCGAAUAUUAAUCAUAGCUCAGAAUACUGAGUGUCGAGGAAGAACCUCAUCAACAUCCAAUUAGUCACACAUCAGGCCAAACGAGCCAUCUCCGUGCAGAGUUA